Molecule: ribosomal RNA, 160 nt
Filed under: uncultured bacterium
Lineage: Bacteria
Description: partial 16S ribosomal RNA
Rfam family: Bacterial small subunit ribosomal RNA
Source: RNAcentral
UGGGGAAUAUUGGACAAUGGGCGAAAGCCUGAUCCAGCAACGCCGCGUGGAUGACGAAGCUUCUUGGAGUGUAAAAUCCUGUCAGUGGGGACGAAACGUAAGGGUAGGAAAUGACCCUUGCCUGACUGUACCUGCAGAGGAAGUUCCGGCCAACUCCGUG